ACAAAACUGGACUCCUUACCAUGUGGUAUCUUCAGUCAAGAAAAUUGGGGUGCCAUUUUAAUAGCAAAAAGAGGCUAGAUUCUGGUCACUUAAUGUGAAGAACUGUCAGGAGUUAGUUGCAAUCUCCAUCUUUCUGUGAACAUCUGAAGUUGUUCAUCAAAUUAGAAAUACUGAUUCCACACCUUAGUACCAUAAAAUUAAAUAAUGUAAACCUUCCUAUUUUAGCAUAAUACUACUGGUUUAUAAAACUAGAAGUAAAAUUUUAAAUGUAAAUAGAAAAUUAAGAAAUAGUGAAUUCAACAAAGACAGAACAGGGGACACCAUAAGAAAUAACAUGUAAAGGGAGUUGGUGGUACAAUUCUUCUCUUAAGGAGCUUGCAAGCCAACAGACCAACUACAUGCACAAUUAUCUAUAUGAUCAUAAACCAAUGUCAAUCGAGUACUGUUGGUAAUCGCAUACAAUACAGGAUACAUGCUUCCUAUAUAAAAAGCCGUUGGUAUUGGCCAUUUUUGGCCAUUGGCCAUUACACUGUGUAAAUAAACAUAAGCUAUUGUUUGACAAAAUUGAUAGGUACUUUUAUAGUUAUGAAAAAUCAGAGUUGUGUGCUGCCUUUGGUUUUCCUGAGGCAAGGACUUGGUUGUAGGUAGUUUAGGCAGGAAGUGAUCCUAGGAAGCAUGAGCGAGGGAGCAAGGAGAGCAGGUCAGGAGAAGUGGAAAAGCCAAUCAAGCACCAUCAUUAGCAAUCCCUGUGGGCAACUGGGGCUCACUCCAUCCCACGGAGGACCCUCUAAGGAACCACGCAAAAUAUGCCUCAGAAUUGUGCCCCACAAUUUUGCCUCCCAAAGAUGGAAAUCUGGGGCAUUUGUCCAGAGCCUCUUGUCCACCCAAAGUUGCAAGGUUUCCUGGGAAGUGAUAACUCUUCUGCACUUCUAAGCUGUGCUUGCACAUACUUUCAGCAGAUUUUGAAGAAGAAAACUCUAGAGCAGAAAAGAGGAGGGAGCCUGCAGCAGAGACGGGGGUCAUGUGUGGGGAAUGAUCACUUCAGCCACUGUGAAGUCAGGUGGGCUGAGCGAUGUGCAACCAGGCACAGAACAGAAAGACAGCUUGGGAGUACAGCUAUUUGGGCAUCUUGAAGAAUGAUCUUUUCUCCAAUUAUUGCUUGAGCCUGCUGAAUUCAUGAGUGUGCUGAAUGAUGGCUUAAUGGCUUGAACUGCUCUUAAUACAAGGUAGUGUUGGUAUUUACCAUCAUAUAAUUUACUGCCAUACAACAGAUGACUUUAAC
Molecule: long non-coding RNA, 1282 nt
Filed under: Pan paniscus (pygmy chimpanzee)
Lineage: Eukaryota; Metazoa; Chordata; Mammalia; Primates; Hominidae
Description: lncRNA (ENSPPAG00000044518.1)
Source: RNAcentral